AUUGAACGCUGGCGGCAUGCCUUACACAUGCAAGUCGAACGGCAGCAUGGAGAGCUUGCUCUCUGAUGGCGAGUGGCGAACGGGUGAGUAAUGCAUCGGAACGUACCGUGUAAUGGGGGAUAACGUAGCGAAAGUUACGCUAAUACCGCAUACGACCUGAGGGUGAAAGCAGGGGAUCGCAAGACCUUGCGUUAUACGAGCGGCCGAUGUCAGAUUAGCUAGUUGGUGAGGUAAAGGCUCACCAAGGCGACGAUCUGUAGCGGGUCUGAGAGGAUGAUCCGCCACACUGGGACUGAGACACGGCCCAGACUCCUACGGGAGGCAGCAGUGGGGAAUUUUGGACAAUGGGGGAAACCCUGAUCCAGCCAUGCCGCGUGCAGGAUGAAGGCCUUC
Molecule: ribosomal RNA, 393 nt
Filed under: uncultured bacterium
Lineage: Bacteria
Description: bacterial SSU rRNA
Rfam family: Bacterial small subunit ribosomal RNA
Source: RNAcentral